Molecule: ribosomal RNA, 669 nt
Filed under: Iberorhyzobius rondensis
Lineage: Eukaryota; Metazoa; Arthropoda; Insecta; Coleoptera; Coccinellidae
Description: SSU rRNA
Rfam family: Eukaryotic small subunit ribosomal RNA
Source: RNAcentral
CGGAAUGAGUACACUCUAAACCCUUUAACGAGGAUCAAUUGGAGGGCAAGUCUGGUGCCAGCAGCCGCGGUAAUUCCAGCUCCAAUAGCGUAUAUUAAAGUUGUUGCGGUUAAAAAGCUCGUAGUCGAAUUUGUGUCUCGCACCGCCGGUUCAUCGUUCGCGGUGUCAACUGGCGUGCCGCGAGACGUCCUGCCGGCGGGCUUAGCUCGCAAGAGCGGCCCAACUCAAUCCCGCCGCGGUGCUCUUCACUGAGUGUCGAGGUGGGCCGGCACGUUUACUUUGAACAAAUUAGAGUGCUUAAAGCAGGCUAAAACUUCGCCUGAAUACUGUGUGCAUGGAAUAAUGAAACAGGACCUCGGUUCUAUUUUGUUGGUUUUCGGAACCCCGAGGUAAUGAUUAACAGGAACGGAUGGGGGCAUUCGUAUUGCGACGUUAGAGGUGAAAUUCUUGGAUCGUCGCAAGACGGACAGAAGCGAAAGCAUUUGCCAAAAACGUUUUCAUUGAUCAAGAACGAAAGUUAGAGGUUCGAAGGCGAUCAGAUACCGCCCUAGUUCUAACCAUAAACGAUGCCAGCUAGCGAUCCGCCGACGUUCCUCCGAUGACUCGGCGGGCAGCUUCCGGGAAACCAAAGCUUUUGGGUUCCGGGGGAAGUAUGGUUGCAAAGCUGAA